CGGUUCCUUCCAGGCUCGCUCCCUGCGACGCAGCGGCCGCUUUGCUGCCAGCUCAGCCGAGGCCCCUCCAAUUUCCAAGUGGAAUAAUUGGGAGUCAGCUGGAGCCGGGGGCUCUUCGUGCUUCCCGAGCCUUUGUCCCUCUCGGAGAAGGACGUCAUCCUCCUGUAACUGGUUUAAACAUGUCCUCGGUGCCGGGUGGCGAGCCAAGAGCCGGCUGAUGGGUUUGGCAGGGCUGGGUUUGGGGGAAGAAAUGGGUUUUUGAGAGGUUGGGCUGAAAUGGAGCAACCUGUCCCGUUGGAACUAGGUGAUCUCUGAGAUCCCAUCCAACCCAACCGCUCCAGAGCUGAGCUGGGAGGAGGUCAGCAAAUGGGCAACUCUUGGUUGGGGCUGUGCUGGGAAACGAGCUGGGCCUGUCCUGCAGAACGGGAUAGGAAUAAGUGGAGGGUGGGCAGAGAGGAGCCCCCUCGGUGCCCCCCAUCCUCAGCUAAAGCCCAUCAGGAGAUGCGGGCUGGAUGCAGCUGUAGGGCCGUCACUGCUGCCAUCCCAUGCUGGCAGUUCGAGGUUUGGGGCUUCUAAAUUUGGCUCUUUUUGGGGUGAGCAGUGGGGAAGGAGGACGGGAGCGUUUCUCUCUCUCGCUCCAUUGUCGGAUCAAAGUAAUCCUGGCUUUAAAGGCUUCCCAUUCAGCAUGGGGCCAACGGGGAGCAGGAUCAUUAAAGCGUCCGAGCACCGCGUUUCCAUGCUUUGAAAUCACUUGGGAUCACUCCUCCUUGGCAGAAUCACCCCGAGCAGCUCCCGGGGCCCGGCCACGUGUCCCAGAAUGCAGCUGUAACCAGGCUGCUGUCUGCAAGCUCACCCCAAUGAGCCUUCUGGGGGCACACCGGCUCUCUUUGGUCCUGAAGAUGCUUUUAUUUUUUCUCUCUCUGCCCAGGAAAACAGCUUUGCCUGGCGACGAAAAGCCAAGCCAGCAGCACAAGCACCUGCACGGCGUACACGGACCCGCUUUUGCACCAGCUGGUGGGGAGGGACCAUUGUGUUCGACCACUUUGGCUUCCUGCAUGAGGUGGGCCGUGAAGUGCCGCGUGGCUCUAAGCCUUAUUAUUAUUAGCAUUUAUUACUGCGGAGGGAACGAGCACAGAAAGCGCGGCUCCGCGGGUGGGUGGCUUUUUAAAGCAAUCACCUACGGCCAUGCAACCUGUUAUGAAAACUCUCUGCGUAACCGAGAUGGAUCUGUUACGUGCACGGGAGAUGUGGGUACCAGAAGUCAGAGCCGGGCAAACCAGAGCUGCUCAUUUGCCCUUGGCACAGGGCUGAGUGCUGUCCCUGAUCCCCCUGAUGGUGAGCAGCGAGUCACGGUGCGAGUCAGCUCGUGUCCUUGGGAGUCCUCCAGGCAGCAGCGCUCAAUGGAGCGGGGAGAUGGGAGCCCUCGUGAAUCUUCAGCUCGGAGCAAUGAAGGCACCCAGUGUACCGGGACGGCAGCGCCAGAGCUGCCAUGAGCAAUGGGCAAGACAGGACCUGGUUUAGGUCAAGCCGGGCACCCGUCUGCAGACAGGAGAGAUGAAAAUGAGCUCUCGUCUUCUGCGGAGGAGAAGUUCCCGGGGAGAGCUGGAGGAAAAGCGAGGGGAAAUUAAGCAGAAAUAGCUUCGGGGUCAUUUAAAAAUAUCCCCACGGCUCCCUUACAUAUAUAUUUAGCAAGAAUUCAUCGUCCAUGGCUGAGGGAGCUCUAGGCACCGAAUGUUCGGAACGGCCUUUGAUGAAGACCCAUGGGAUCCUGCAUGGCUUGGAAGGGAGAGAGGUCGGGGGGAUGGAGGGGGCAGGUGAGGGCUGCAGGGUAGCUCCCAGCCCCCUACCCCCCACUGUGCCCACCCACGUGUUGAUGUGCUGAGGGGGGAUGUUUAGGGGAUGCCGAGCACUGGGAUGGCUGGCAGCAGCGUGGUGCUCUUCGCAUCACCCAGCCCGUUGGUUUUUGAGGUCCCAAAGUGUUUUCCAUCUCGUGCUGCUUCAGCAGGAAAAAGCACCCCUCGCUUCUAGGAGCAUCCUGGACCAAAGGAAGGUUCAAAAGACAGGUCUGGAUCUGCCGGAGCCCAUGAAUUAUUCAUCGCUUCUCCGAGUUGCAGAGGAUCCCAUUACGAGGUGCAGAAGGGUCUCCUUGAGCUGCGCAGCCCUGCCCAGAGCUGUCAGCUCAGAAACCCAAGAGCUGGAGGGAUCUCAGCUCGCGCCUUCCUUCCCCGGGGCCAACACUGCUCCCAUAGCAAAGGCAGGCGGGCUUUGACUUUGGGGCUCUGCCUGAAGGUUGGUGGGUGUCUCCUUACAGGCCUGAUUAUUGAUCGCCUCCUGCCUGAGUUCCCACCCCAUCCAGAUUGUAACUGCUGCCCUCGAGAUGACGAAUGGAGCUGCCAGCCUCUGAUUUAUUUUAAUUGCCAUCUUCCCUUCCCGCUAGCGGUGGAGAGGCACUGCGCUGGGGUGCUUGAGCUGGAGGCUCUGAGCGCAUCUGAGUGAUAUUAUUAUUAUUAUUUUGAGGCUGUCUGGG
Molecule: long non-coding RNA, 2527 nt
Filed under: Numida meleagris (helmeted guineafowl)
Lineage: Eukaryota; Metazoa; Chordata; Aves; Galliformes; Numididae
Description: lncRNA (ENSNMEG00000009193.1)
Source: RNAcentral